Molecule: unclassified non-coding RNA, 405 nt
Filed under: Anaerobranca californiensis DSM 14826
Lineage: Bacteria; Bacillati; Bacillota; Clostridia; Eubacteriales; Proteinivoracaceae
Source: RNAcentral
AAUUUUAUCAAUAACGGUGGUGCAGUAUUCUAGUCAAAGGUGCUAUAUCUGAAGACGGGCCUAAAAAUCCGUUAAGGGCACAUCGAUGAAGUUCCUGGUGCUGGCUUACGACGCCCAGUCGUGGGCUGGUGCUGGGAGUUAAGGGGGAUGGGGCGAUCCACAAUGGCAUGUGGGCGUUGACCCCGCCUCCGCGGAGACCUAAGUUUGUAGUUUAACACGCAGAUGGGGUGUUAAAUUAUGCCUUAGGAUAGAAACCUGUAUGCGGUUCUGCCCGAAAACAAGGGCUGUGUACAGUGUAGCCUGCCUUGAGUGGUAAUGGUGGAUACUACUUAGACCUGGAUUUUCAAAGGGGCCUAAUUUGAAAACCAGUGGUUGAAACCAUUAGUGCAAAAGAGGCUAGGAUAU